UUGACCUCGGAUCAGGUAGGAUUACCCGCUGAACUUAAGCAUAUCAAUAAGCGAAGGAAAAGAACCACCAGGAUUGCCCCAGUAACGGCGAGUGAACGGCAACAGCUCAGAUUUGGAAUCUGGCCUUCGGGCCCGAGUUGUAAUCUGGAGAGGAUGCUUCUGGCGCGGUGCCUUCCGAGUUCCCUGGAACGGGACGCCGGAGAGGGUGAGAGCCCCGUACGGUUGGACACCUAGCCUUUGUGAAGCUCCUUCGACGAGUCGAGUAGUUUGGGAAUGCUGCUCAAAAUGGGAGGUAAAUUUCUUCUAAAGCUAAAUAUUGGCCAGAGACCGAUAGCGCACAAGUAGAGUGAUCGAAAGAUGAAAAGCACUUUGAAAAGAGAGUUAAAAAGUACGUGAAAUUGUUGAAAGGGAAG
RNAcentral lists this ribosomal RNA (413 nucleotides) under Grosmannia abiocarpa. RNAcentral describes it as "eukaryotic LSU rRNA". It matches the Rfam family "Eukaryotic large subunit ribosomal RNA", at positions 1 to 419 of the family's 3401-position model. Lineage: Eukaryota; Fungi; Ascomycota; Sordariomycetes; Ophiostomatales; Ophiostomataceae. The record is from RNAcentral.